UAGAGUUUGAUCAUGGCUCAGGACUAACGCUGGCGGCGUGCCUAAUGCAUGCAAGUCGAACGGUCUUCAGGCCGCAAGGCCAAAAAGACAGUGGCGAACGGCUGAGUAACACGUAAGUAACCUACCCUUAGGUGGGGAAUAACCCCGAGAAAUCGGGGCUAAUACCGCAUAGUACAACUCUUCGCAAGGAGGGCUGUCAAAGCCGCAAGGCGCCAAAGGAGGGACUUGCGUCCUAUCAGGUUGUUGGUGCGGUAACGGCUCACCAAGCCGAUGACGGGUAGCUGGUCUGAGAGGACGACCAGCCAGAAGGGGACUGCGGCACGGCCCCUACUCCUACGGGAGGCAGCAGCAGGGAAUAUUGCGCAAUGGACGAAAGUCUGACGCAGCGACGCCGCGUGAGGGAUGAAGGCCUUCGGGUCGUAAACCUCUUUUUCUGGGGAAGAGUAAGGACGGUACCCAGAGAAUAAGCCACGGCUAACUACGUGCCAGCCGCCGCGGUAAUUCAAU
This 507-nucleotide ribosomal RNA is filed under the name uncultured bacterium. RNAcentral describes it as "bacterial SSU rRNA". It matches the Rfam family "Bacterial small subunit ribosomal RNA", at positions 1 to 529 of the family's 1533-position model. The record is from RNAcentral.